CUCCAAAUGAAAUAAACCAGUUGCAGAAGGAUAAACGCUGCAUGAGGAUUUGGACAAAGAUGCUGAACCACUGGGAAGUAUGUGGAAUACAGAGCCCAUUGUGGGAUUUGACUGCCUGGCAAAAGUAUAUUUUAUGUGUGUCAGUGACUUUCAACUUGUAAAGAAUGCCUCUGUGCAGAAGAGGAGGUGCCAGCAAAAGCAACUGGGAGAAGAGAUCGGAAGGGAGACGUGGCAACCCAUGGAGACAAGAAGAGGGGGCCUGGCUGGCUGCACUGCAGCUCCUCUGGAGUGAUCGCAAGAAUGAGGCCCAACUCUAAAUCUGAUUUCACCUUCCUAAAGAUAUCCAUUGCUUACGUGGCAAAACCCACUUCCUCAGUUAUAA
Molecule: long non-coding RNA, 382 nt
Organism: Fukomys damarensis (Damara mole-rat)
Lineage: Eukaryota; Metazoa; Chordata; Mammalia; Rodentia; Bathyergidae
Exons: 3
Source: RefSeq, a predicted model, not a curated record